GAAUCCUAAUCUACAGAGUCUAAGGGUCACACUUGGGAGACAGAAACAAUGAAGAAACUCAAGGAGCGUAAGGAGUAUAAUAAUCAGGACAGUGAGUCCUUUCGGAAGUAGAGAGGCGGGGUUUUCUACCUCAUUUGUGUAUCCAUGAAUCUGUGAAUUAAGAAGCACAGAGUGAACAAUUAAAAUCAGUAUUUUCCAGUCUGAUAGUAAGAAGCCCUGGCGUGCUAUGGAAAGUGUAUCCUCCUGGUCUCGCUGCUGAGUCCUCCAUGAAGCACUAGGACCUCAUGCCCAUCUACGUCCAUCAGCAGAAGGGGCAAGAAUGUGAAGAAAUGCUUGUGGGAGGUGAUAACAGGCCCAGUCUAGAAGAACACACAUCAGCUCCUCUCCUGCUCCAUUGGCAGCGACAUGGCCCUACCGCCACAAAAGAGGCUGGGAAGUCUUUCAGCUAUGCUCCAAGAAGGGGAACAGAUUUUCAUGGACAAUUAACAUUAUCAGUGCUAAAGUAUCAUCUCCUAGGAAAAAUAAAAAUGAAAGAAAUCCCCUAGGGAAAGUACAUAAAAAAUGGACCUGGUGUGACUAACAGAGACCAAAAACAAAGUGGAACCAAGCAGUGAUGACAGACCUGGGGCUAAGUGAUGUGCUCUGAGUUUUUAGAAAACCACAAAAGCUCUGACUCUUGAUUCUUCUAAGGGUCCCACCUGGAAAAGCCCCAGAGGUGAAGUUCCAAUGACAGCCAAACAUCACAAACUGCGGUCCAGCUGCGAGGACUUAUGGUCAGGCUGCAGGGGCCAUACAGCCCUCUUACAAGUCUCCCAACUGUGUAUUCUGUGGAUUUUGCUUUUUAAAAUGUCUCACUCCCAUCACCUUCUGGGAAACUACUUUCAGUUACAGGCAAAAGAUGUGUACCCCAAGAUUGCAAACCUGCCAACAAUAAACCAGUCUUUGGC
Molecule: long non-coding RNA, 947 nt
Organism: Cervus elaphus (red deer)
Lineage: Eukaryota; Metazoa; Chordata; Mammalia; Artiodactyla; Cervidae
Exons: 3
Source: RefSeq, a predicted model, not a curated record